GAUGAACGCUGGCGGCGUGCUUAAUACAUGCAAGUCGAGCGAAGCACUUUAACGGAAUUCUCCGGAAGGAAGGUAAAGUGACUGAGCGGCGGACGGGUGAGUAACGCGUGGGUAACCUGCCUUAUACAGGGGGAUAACAGUUAGAAAUGACUGCUAAUACUCCAUACUCCUUCUUAACAUAAGUUAAGUCGGGAAAGUUUUUCGGUGUAGGAUGAGACUAUAUUGUAUCAGCUAGUUGGUGAGGUAAUGGCUCACCAAGGCUAUGACGCAUAACUGGUCUGAGAGGAUGAUCAGUCACACUGGAACUGAGACACGGUCCAG
Molecule: ribosomal RNA, 321 nt
Filed under: uncultured bacterium
Lineage: Bacteria
Description: bacterial SSU rRNA
Rfam family: Bacterial small subunit ribosomal RNA
Source: RNAcentral